GAGGUCGUGGAGUAACGGUUUAACUCGCCUAUACUUUGUAUAGGAGAUGGGGGUUCGAUUCCCUUCGACC
Molecule: transfer RNA, 70 nt
Filed under: Bacillus cereus
Lineage: Bacteria; Bacillati; Bacillota; Bacilli; Caryophanales; Bacillaceae
Also listed under: 1 other name
Description: tRNA-Gln (TTG) (tRNA-Gln-TTG-2-1)
Rfam family: tRNA
About the family: Transfer RNA (tRNA) molecules are approximately 80 nucleotides in length. Their secondary structure includes four short double-helical elements and three loops (D, anti-codon, and T loops). Further hydrogen bonds mediate the characteristic L-shaped molecular structure. tRNAs have two regions of fundamental functional importance: the anti-codon, which is responsible for specific mRNA codon recognition, and the 3' end, to which the tRNAs corresponding amino acid is attached (by aminoacyl-tRNA synthetases). tRNAs cope with the degeneracy of the genetic code in two manners: having more than one tRNA (with a specific anti-codon) for a particular amino acid; and 'wobble' base-pairing, i.e. permitting non-standard base-pairing at the 3rd anti-codon position.
Source: RNAcentral